UGCGUAGGCGGUGCAGCAAGUCGGGUGUGAAAUCCCUCAGCUCAACUGAGGAACGGCGCCCGAAACUGCUGUGCUCGAGGAAGAUAGAGGUACGCGGAACUUAGGGUGGAGCGGUGAAAUGCGUUGAUAUCCUAAGGAACACCGGUGGCGAAAGCGGCGUACUGGGUCUUUUCUGACGCUGAGGCACGAAAGCUAGGGUAGCGAACG
RNAcentral lists this ribosomal RNA (207 nucleotides) under uncultured bacterium. Its description in RNAcentral is "partial 16S ribosomal RNA". It matches the Rfam family "Bacterial small subunit ribosomal RNA", at positions 568 to 774 of the family's 1533-position model. The record is from RNAcentral.